RNAcentral lists this ribosomal RNA (253 nucleotides) under uncultured bacterium. Its description in RNAcentral is "partial 16S ribosomal RNA". It matches the Rfam family "Bacterial small subunit ribosomal RNA", at positions 524 to 776 of the family's 1533-position model. The record is from RNAcentral.
UACGGAGGAUGCAAGCGUUAUCCGGAAUGAUUGGGCGUAAAGCGUCCGCAGGUGGCUAUGUAAGUCUGCUGUUAAAGAGUGAGGCUCAACCUCAUAAGAGCAGUGGAAACUACAUGGCUAGAGUGCGUUCGGGGCAGAGGGAAUUCCUGGUGUAGCGGUGAAAUGCGUAGAGGUCAGGAAGAACACCGGUGGCGAAAGCGCUCUGCUAGGCCGCAACUGACACUGAGGGACGAAAGCUAGGGGAGCGAAUGGG